RNA transcript from Setaria italica (foxtail millet), 6134 nucleotides. It is a transcript of the gene named eukaryotic translation initiation factor 3 subunit I, with no coding region annotated. The record is from RefSeq and is a predicted model, not a curated record. NCBI's taxonomy places the organism in Eukaryota, Viridiplantae, Streptophyta, Magnoliopsida, Poales, Poaceae. The transcript is spliced from 8 exons.
UAGUUCUAGGGUUUUCUCGUCUCCGCCGCCGACGCAUCCAAAUCAAACCCUUCCCCAUCCACCACCCUCCCCACUUCCGGCGGCGGCGAGCGGCGGCACCACCACCACCACCACGCCACGAUGAGGCCGAUCCUGAUGAAGGGGCACGAGCGCCCGCUCACGUUCCUGCGCUACAACCGCGACGGCGACCUCCUCUUCUCCUGCGCCAAGGACCACACCCCGACGGUCUGGUACGCCGACAACGGCGACCGCCUGGGGACCUACCGCGGCCACAACGGCGCCGUCUGGUCCUGCGACGUCUCCCGCGACUCGGCGCGCCUCAUCACGGGCUCCGCCGACCAGACCGCCAAGCUCUGGGACGUCAGCACGGGGCGGGAGCUCUUCAGCUUCCGCUUCGACGCGCCUGCGAGGUCCGUUGAGUUCGCCAUCGGGGACGCGCUCGCCGUCAUCACCACCGACAACUUCAUGGACCACGUCCCCACCGUCCAGGUCAAGCACAUCGCCGAGGACCUCGACGACCAGACUGAUGAAUCCGCGCUCGUGAUCACCGGCAUCAAGGGGAGGAUCAACAGGGCGGUUUGGGGCCCGCUCAACAGGACCAUCAUCACUGCCGGCGAGGACGCCACCAUUCGCAUCUGGGACACGGAGGAUAAUAUAGUACAGCGCACCCCAUUGCGUGCGCCGAGCAAUAACCCUCGAGGAACAGUACACCAUGGUCGACAGGGACAGCGAAAGCGACGAAAGGGAGGGACCGAAACGCAAAACAGCCAGAGGUGGACGACGUAUUUUGGUUUUUUUGCCCCUUUGCCCCCUCGUCUCGCUUUGCCUGGUUGCUUAGCUUCGCCUACUUCCCAACUCCCCCCAUCCCCCCCGAAAAACCGAGGAGGAUUGGACUCGCUCCACCACCCCCCGAAGCUUGUGUACGCACGCGCGCCCUCCCCCGCAAUGCCGCCGCCGUUUCCUCCCCAUCCUCAUCCACAAACCCUAGGUAGCACGGGAGCCUCCCGCCGCCAGAUCCCAGAGUCCCGCCGCACCCGCGCCGAUCUGAGCUCGCUAGCUAGAUUUCCGCUGCGGAAAGGGCGCGUUUUUUCGGCAGUUUCGGGAGUAAUGGAGCCCAGGGUCGGGAACAUGUUCCGGCUCGGCCGCAAGAUCGGGAGCGGCUCCUUCGGUGAGAUCUACCUUGUGGAUUCCUUUAGUGGAUAUCGACGCAAUGGAUCCGUCCCUCUAGGAGUACGAGCACGUGAUGCAUUGGCUGGUGCAGCAGGAUUUGGAUCGUGCCGGCUCGGGGCAGGACAAUCUCUUCCACGAUGUUUCCCUCACUUUUGCGACGGAAGGGUGGCGUCGUGUCAACUUUAUGUUCCCUGAUAGGCCGACGGUCUCGAUACUCAUCGACGAGAAAGAUUUCUACCUUCUGUUCAUAUGAAGAGGGAUGGGAAGUGGCUCAAGUUCUCCGACCGCCGUAUUCCACUUUCAGCAGACCAUCCUGCAGUUGAGAGUAUGGACGUAGAGUCAUCUUACAUUGAUCUGAUCCGUAGCUUCCACAGGUACUACAUUCGAUCUAAUAAUUCUACAAUUGGCAUUAAAUUUUUUUUUCAAUUAGAGUAAAUUAUACUAACUAUACAAUAAUUAUUGGUAUAGUUCUAUAACUUUGAUCUAAUAAGUUUGCAAAACGUAUAAACGGACGUGUAAACUCGUCAAAUGUGUGCAUGAGGUGCUACAUAUGAGCCUGAGCGUAUCUUACAACGAUGGCUUAGAAGUGUAGUUUAGAUCAUUAAAUAUACAUACAAGAUGUGUGCAUUAUCGACAGUGGUCACAAAUUAAAUAAAUACAAAAUGUAUGUUGUUUGAAAUUUGGUAUACAACUUUACACGAAUUCAAACUAAAAUUUGGUAUAUUAUUUUUUUCUCUGAAUAUCCUCUUAAUCCUUACUCAUCCUCUGGUAUUGCUUAAAAUACUUAUGACUCAAACUACAAUUCAUAUGUCAUGCUAGAUAUCCCUUUGGAACAAAGGAUUAACGGAAAAAAUUUGUAGGAUUUAUUUUCUAUAAGAAUUUUUUCUAUGUACACUUUAAAAUAAAAGAUUAAAUAUCGAAAAAAAUCUUACAAAUUUCUAUAAAAUACUUUAAUUUAUAGGAAUUUCGAGAAAUUCUAACACGAGUUCCAAUCCCUUAGAAACUUUCCUUCGUGUUUAUUUUUCUACUGAAAUAUUUGUAUUUACUAUGUUGAGUGUGAUUUACUCUUUUUAAUUAUUAAUUGCUGCAUAACUUAUGAAUCCUAACUAUCAGGGCUAUAGUUAGGUUAAGUAUUAAAUAAAAAAAGUGUAAGUCUUUUCACCGUAAUGCUUUUGUAACAAUCAACCUUAUUUGUCACAAAUUAUAAUAUCAACCUCAGUUAUAUCUCUGUAAUCAAUUAAUAUGGGUGAUCAUAGUUAAAUUUUUUAGAAACGACUUGUAAUCUGAGUGUGUGAGAAGCACCACGAUUUUUUUUAAUUGCAUUGGAGGUGGGUAAAAAUGAUUAAUUUUUUCUUUGUAAAAGGUUGGUUACUUCUUUUCUUUUUUUAGGAGAAUAAUAUUAUUACUCAAUACUCACUACUGGAAAACUGAAAGCGCAUUCCCUAUCAGUGACUAGUGUUUUUCAUGUUGAGUUAGCAAGAAACACUAGGUGUUCGGAAUUCCAGUGUUGAUUAAUUUCUACCAUGUGUAUUUUCAUUUCAAUCCAAAACUUGGAUUAAUGAAUUCAGAAAUGACAAGGCAAAGGAAGAUGCUGGUUCAGUUGAUAGUUCUAUUCUGUGAAGCUGUCCGCUUCAAGCGUCUGCGAGCAAAGCUUCUGGAGAUUAUGGAGGAUGGUCGGAGUUUCACUUUACCUCAGAAAAUGUGGUCAUGGCUUCAGGAUUGGUCCACAACGUCAAUGUUUGCCCUGAGCUGCAAGCAAAGAGAGGGAGGUGGUAAUAUGCAGGACGACCCUCGUGUGUUGCGAAGCGUUGAGGGUCUUGAAAUCAACAGCAGAGAAGACGUACCUGGUUUCCUUAGUCUCAAUUUGCACAAGGUUGUUGUAGUAUGACAGGGAGGAUGUAGUUGGUUUCUUUAGCCUCAAUAUUUGUUCCUGAAAUAUAAACAGGGAGGAUGUGCUGGUUUCCUUAGCCUCAUUUUGCACACGGGUAUUUUUGUUUCUAACGACGCUUAAGUUUUAAUAGUACGCUUAACUUUGCGUCGAUAGGAACAACUGUCGUGUGCAAAAUGAGGUCAAGGAAGUCAGUAACAUUCUCCCUGUUUAAGUUUCAGGAAUAAAUAUUGAGGCUAAAGAAUUCAGCCAUAUCCUCCCUGUUGUACUACAACUUAAGCAAAAGGAACAACGACUUUGUGCAAAAUGAGACUAAUGAAACCAGGUACGUCAUCUCUGCUGUUGAUUUCAAGACCCUCAACGUUUCGCAACAGACGAGAGUCGUUCUGCAUAUUACGACGUCCCUCUCUUUGCUUGCAGCUCAGGGUAAACAUUGACGUUGUGGACCAUUCCUGAAGCUAUGGCCACAUCUUCUGAGAUAAAGUGAUGCUCCGACCAUCCUCCAUGAUCUCUAGAAGAUUUACUCGCAAACGCCUGAAGCGGACAGUUUCACAGAAUAGAACUAUCAACUGAACCAGCGCCUUCCUUUGCCUUGUCACUCCUGGAUUCAUUAAUCCAAGUUUUGGAUUGAAAUGAAAAAUGCACAUGGUAGAAAUUAGUCAACACUGGAGUUCCGAACAUCUAGUGCUUCUUGCUAACUCAACAUGAAAAACACUAGUCACUAAUAGGGAAUGCGCCUUCAGUUUUCCAGUAGUGAGUGUUGAGUAAUAAUAUUAUUUUUCUAUAAAAAGAAAAUAAGUAACAAACCUUUUAUAAAGAAAAGAGCAAUCAUUUUUACCCACCUCCAAUGCAAAUAAAAUUUAAUGGUGCUUCUCACACACUCAGAUUACAAGUCGUUUCUAAAAAAAUUUAACUAUGACCACCCAUAUUAAUUUAUUACAGAGAUAUAACUAAGGUUGACAUUACAAUUUGUGACAAAUAAGGUUGAUUGUUACAAAAGUAUUACGGUGAAAAGACUUACACUUUUUUUAUUUAAUACUUAAUCUAACUAUGGCCCUGAUAGUUAGGAUUCAUAAGUUAUGCAGCAAUUAAUAAUUAAAAAGAGUAAAUCACACUCAACAUAGUAAAUACAAAUAUUUCAGUAGAAAAAUAGACACGAAGGAAAGUUUCCAAGGGAUUGGAACUCGUGUUAGAAUUUCUCAAAAUUCUAUGAAUUGAAGCAUUUCAUAGGAAUUUGUAUGAUUUUUUUCGAUGUCCAAUCUUUUAUUUUAAAGGGUACAUAGGAAAAAUUCCUAUAGAAAACAAAUCAUACAAAAUUUUUUCCGCUAAUCCUUUGUUCCAAAGGGAUAUCUAACAUGACAUAUGGAUUGUAGCUUGGGUCAUAAGUAUUUUGAGCAAUAACAGAAUAUGAGUAAGGAUCAAGAGGAUAUUCAGAGAAAAAAAUUGUAUACCAAAUUUCAGUUUGGAUUCGUGUAAAGUUGUAUACCAAAUUUCAAACAAUAUACAUCUUGUAUUUGUUUAAUUUGUGGCUACUAUCGACAAUGCACACAUCUUGUAUGUAUAUUUAAUGAUCUAAACUACACUUCUAAGCCAUCGUUGUAAGAUACGCUCAGGCCCAUAUGUAGCACCUCAUGCACACAUUGGACGAGUUCAGACGUCCGUUUAUACGUUUUGCAAACUUGUUGGAUCAAAGUUAUAGAACCAUACCAAUAAUUAUUGUAUAGUCAGUAUAAUUUACUCUAAUUAAAUAAAGAAAAUUUGGUGCCAAUUGUAGGAUUAUUGGAUCGAGUGUAGUACCUGUGGAAGCCACGGAUCAUGUCAAUGUAAGAUGACUCUACGUCCAUAUUCUCAACUGCAGGGUGGUCUGCUGGAAGUGAAAUACGGCGGUCGGAGAACUUGAGCCACUUCCCAUCCCCCCUUCGUAUGGCCACAAGGUAGGAAUCUUUCUCGUCGAUGAGUAUCGAGACCGUCGGCCUGUCAAGGAACAAAAAGUUGACACGACACCCUUCCGUCGCAGAAGUGAGGGGACAUCGCGGAAGAGAUUGUCCUACCCCGGACCGGUACGAUCCAAAUCCCGCUGCACCAGCCAAUUCAUCACGUGCUCAUACGGAUCAUUGUGUCGAUAUCCACUGAAGGAAUCAAAUGCAUAUUGCAUAAAAAGACCAACGAUUUAUCAUUUUCCGACCUAAUCGUUAGAGCAGAAUUAUAAUCGGUUGACAGAGAACAGCACCAAAAACUCAAAAACAAAGAGUAUACGACAAGAGCAGGUGUUAUUCUAAGGUGAGGAAAAGAAUAGCCUAUGGUAGUUCUGCCAACUUCAAGACCCACUGUUAAAAAAAUAGUUAAACAAGUAAAACUUAUAAGGUGCUAGUGUUUGAUGUGGGUGAAAUUGAUUUGGAUGCAUAAAAAUGUUUCUGAUUCUAUCAAUUUUGGAUUUGUGUCACACGAAUGUUGCUGGGGCAUGCGUGGCCGUAUCUGGUCAAUUAUGCUGGAAGGCAUCCAUGAUGGCAUGCUGCUGAGACUGCAUGAGAUCUAACACCACUGGAGAGGUGGAUCUUAUUUCCUCCGAUAAUCCUUCUGCAUGUCGUGCUGACAGUUCAUGUUUGCAAUACAAAUUAUCCCAGAUAUAACAUUGAAAAAUCAAGGCAAAAGGGGAUACAGCCCAGCAGUACAUCUAGAAUAAAGGCUCGGACGGCACUGAGUACAAUGAGAUCACAAGCAAACUUCAGGAACGAAUACACUAACAGAGAUUGUGACAAGCUCACUAUGGUCUGCUUCUGAUUAAGACACCAGGAAUUAGUAGUGCAAUGCAUAAAAAAGUUACAAGCAAUGUGACUACGAGGCAGAUGACAUUGGCCACAGAGAGGACAGAGAACAAAGAUUCAUUAACCAAUUAGUAUUCUUGGGACACCUGACUGCUCAGUCUAUUGCGAAAUUCCGUCUCAUGAAAUUGAGACACCUGGUCGCCAAUUUGUAUGGCUAGAUUUAUCACGAAUGUAAAGAUCACUCAGUCGUUGAAUAUUUACUGUACUGGCUCACAUUUCAAUUAAUAAAAAAAGAUAAGUUGGACCUUAAA